GUGCUUGCUUUGGUGGCACAUAUACUAAAAUUAGUCUGAUAUAGACAAGAUAAGCAUGGUCUCUGCUCAAGGAUGGUAUGGAAAUUUGUGAAGCAUUCCAAAGAUAC
Small nuclear RNA from Monodelphis domestica (gray short-tailed opossum), 107 nucleotides. The record is from Ensembl. Lineage: Eukaryota; Metazoa; Chordata; Mammalia; Didelphimorphia; Didelphidae.